AGUAUUAGCUAGUUGGUUGGGUAACGGCUGACCAAGGCGAUGAUAGGUAGGCGGCCUUAACGGGUGGUCGCCCACACUGGGAUUGAGAUACGGCCCAGACUCCUACGGGAGGCAGCAGUCGAGAAUCGUCUACAAUGGGGGAAACCCUGAUAGUGCGACGCCGCGUGGAUGAUGAAGCAUUUCGGUGUGUAAAGUCCUUUUCUGUAUGAGCAAUGACAUGUAGGAUAAUAUUUUGCAUGUAGAGAUAUUAGUAUAGGAAUAAGCUCCGGCUAACUCCGUGCCAGCAGCCGCGGUAAUACGGGGGGAGCAAGCGUUGUCCGGAAUCACUAGGCGUAAAGGGCAAGUAGGCGGAAUUGUUAGUUAGACGUUAAAGACAUCGGCUCAACCGGUGGACAGCGUUUGAUACUGCAAUUCUAGAAUUAGGUAGGGGAAGACGGAAUUCCUGGUGUAGCGGUGGAAUGCGUAGAUAUCAGGAAGAACACCGGUGGCGAAGGCGGUCUUCUAUGCCAUAAUUGACGCUCAAUUGCGAAGGUGUGGGUAUCGAACAGGAUUAGAUACCCUGGUAGUCCACACAGUAAACGAUAGGCACUAGGUUGGGAGAGUGAAUCUUUCAGUGCCGUAGUUAACGCGUUAAGUGCCUCGCCUGGGGAGUACGAUCGCAAGGUUUAAACUCAAAGGAAUUGACGGGGGCCCGCACAAGCGGUGGAGCAUGUGGUUUAAUUCGAUGCAACGCGAAGAACCUUACCUGGGCUUGACAUCCUAAGGAGAUUUCAGAGAUGAGAUUGUGCCCUUCGGGGAACUUAGAGACAGGUGCUGCAUGGUUGUCGUCAGCUCGUGCCGUGAGGUGUUGGGUUAAGUCCCGCAACGAGCGCGACCCUUAUCUUUAGUUGCUACCAUUAAGUUGAGGACUCUAGAGAGACUGCCAGUGUAAUAAACUGGAGGAAGGUGGGGAUGACGUCAAAUCAUCAUGGUCCUUACGUCCAGGGCUACACACGUGCUACAAUGGUCGGAACAGAUGGAAGCUAAGCCGCGAGGUGUCGCUAAUCCCAAAAAGCCGAUCACAGUUCGGAUUGGAGUCUGCAACUCGACUCCAUGAAGUCGGAAUCGCUAGUAAUCGCGUGUCAGCGUAACGCGGUGAAUACGUUCCCGGGCCUUGUACACACCGCCCGUCAAGUCAGCCGAGUUGAUUGCACCCGAAGGAGGUGGGCUAACCGAAAGGAGGCAGCUUCCGAAGGUGUGGUUAGCAAGGGGGACUAAGUCGUAACAAGGUA
Molecule: ribosomal RNA, 1271 nt
Filed under: metagenome
Description: bacterial SSU rRNA
Rfam family: Bacterial small subunit ribosomal RNA
Source: RNAcentral